Molecule: ribosomal RNA, 666 nt
Filed under: uncultured cyanobacterium
Lineage: Bacteria; Bacillati; Cyanobacteriota
Description: partial 16S ribosomal RNA
Source: RNAcentral
GACUACUGGGGUAUCUAAUCCCAUUCGCUCCCCUAGCUUUCGUCCAUGAGUGUCAGUUGCGGCCUAGCAGAGCGCUUUCGCCACCGGUGUUCUUCCCAAUCUCUACGCAUUUCACCGCUACACUGGGAAUUCCCUCUGCCCCCACAGCACUCUAGCUGUGUAGUUUCCACUGCCUGUUCAGGGUUGAGCCCUGACCUUUGACAGCAGACUUACACUGCCACCUGCGGACGCUUUACGCCCAAUCAUUCCGGAUAACGCUUGCAUCCUCCGUAUUACCGCGGCUGCUGGCACGGAGUUAGCCGAUGCUGAUUCCUCAGGUACCGUCAUUGUGUUCUUCCCUGAGAAAAGAGGUUUACGACCCAAGAGCCUUCCUCCCUCACGCGGUAUUGCUCCGUCAGGCUUGCGCCCAUUGCGGAAAAUUCCCCACUGCUGCCUCCCGUAGGAGUCUGGGCCGUGUCUCAGUCCCAGUGUGACUGGUCAUCCUCUCAGACCAGUUACUGAUCGGAGCCUUGGUAGGCCUUUACCCUACCAACUAGCUAAUCAGACGCGAGCUCAUCAAAAGGCGGGUUACCCCUUUUCACUUUCUGGCAUAUCUGGUAUUAGCAGCCGUUUCCAGCUGUUGUCCCAGUCCUUUAGGCAGAUUCUCACGCGUUACUCACCCGUCCG